RNAcentral lists this ribosomal RNA (460 nucleotides) under uncultured bacterium. RNAcentral's name for it is "partial 16S ribosomal RNA". It matches the Rfam family "Bacterial small subunit ribosomal RNA", at positions 338 to 795 of the family's 1533-position model. The record is from RNAcentral.
CCUACGGGAGGCAGCAGUGAGGAAUAUUGGUCAAUGGACGGAAGUCUGAACCAGCCAAGUAGCGUGAAGGAUGACUGCGCUAAGGAUUGUAAACUUCUUUUGUCAAGGAAUAAAACGAGGCACGUGUGCCUGUUUGCAGGUACUUUAUGAAUAAGGAUCGGCUAACUCCGUGCCAGCAGCCGCGGUAAUACGGAGGAUGCGAGCGUUAUCCGGAUUUAUUGGGUUUAAAGGGAGCGUAGAUGGGUUGUUAAGUCAGUUGUGAAAGUUUGCGGCUCAACCGUAAAAUUGCAAUUGAUACUGGCAGUCUUGAGUACAGUUGAGGUAGGCGGAAUUCGUGGUGUAGCGGUGAAAUGCUUAGAUAUCACGAAGAACCCCGAUUGCGAAGGCAGCUUACUAAACUGCGACUGACAUUGAUGCUCGAAAGUGUGGGUAUCAAACAGGAUUAGAUACCCCUGUAGUC